AUAAUACUCCCUCCGUCCCAAAAUUCUUGUCUUAUUAGAUUAGUCUAGAUACGGAUGUAUCUAAUCUUAAAACAUGACUUGAUACAUCUGUAUUUAGACAAAUCUAAAACAAAAAAUUUGGGACGGAGGGGGUAGUUG
Non-coding RNA from Triticum aestivum (bread wheat), 138 nucleotides. NCBI's taxonomy places the organism in Eukaryota, Viridiplantae, Streptophyta, Magnoliopsida, Poales, Poaceae. The record is from Rfam.